This 492-nucleotide ribosomal RNA is filed under the name uncultured bacterium. RNAcentral describes it as "partial 16S ribosomal RNA". It matches the Rfam family "Bacterial small subunit ribosomal RNA", at positions 29 to 507 of the family's 1533-position model. The record is from RNAcentral.
AGUGAACGCUGGCGGUAGGCCUAACACAUGCAAGUCGAACGGCAGCACAGUAAGAGCUUGCUCUUACGGGUGGCGAGUGGCGGACGGGUGAGGAAUACAUCGGAAUCUACUUUUUCGUGGGGGAUAACGCAGGGAAACUUACGCUAAUACCGCAUACGACCUACGGGUGAAAGCAGGGGAUCUUCGGACCUUGCGCGAUUGAAUGAGCCGAUGUCGGAUUAGCUAGUUGGCGGGGUAAAGGCCCACCAAGGCGACGAUCCGUAGCUGGUCUGAGAGGAUGAUCGGCCACACUGGAGCUGAGACACGGUCCAGACUCCUACGGGAGGCAGCAGUGGGGAAUAUUGGACAAUGGGCGCAAGCCUGAUCCAGCCAUACCGCGUGGGUGAAGAAGGCCUUCGGGUUGUAAAGCCCUUUUGUUGGGAAAGAAAAGCAGCAGGUUAAUACCCCGCUGUUCUGACGGUACCCAAAGAAUAAGCACCGGCUAACUUCGUG